GACGAACGCUGGCGGCGUGCCUAAUACAUGCAAGUAGAACGCUGAAGGAGGAGCUUGCUCUUCUGGAUGAGUUGCGAACGGGUGAGUAACGCGUAGGUAACCUGCCUGGUAGCGGGGGAUAACUAUUGGAAACGAUAGCUAAUACCGCAUAACAGUAGAUGUUGCAUGACAUUUGCUUAAAAGGUGCAAUUGCAUCACUACCAGAUGGACCUGCGUUGUAUUAGCUAGUUGGUGGGGUAACGGCUCACCAAGGCGACGAUACAUAGCCGACCUGAGAGGGUGAUCGGCCACACUGGGACUGAGACACGGCCCAGACUCCUACGGGAGGCAGCAGUAGGGAAUCUUCGGCAAUGGACGGAAGUCUGACCGAGCAACGCCGCGUGAGUGAAGAAGGUUUUCGGAUCGUAAAGCUCUGUUGUAAGAGAAGAACGAGUGUGAGAGUGGAAAGUUCACACUGUGACGGUAUCUUACCAGAAAGGGACGGC
Molecule: ribosomal RNA, 485 nt
Filed under: uncultured bacterium
Lineage: Bacteria
Description: bacterial SSU rRNA
Rfam family: Bacterial small subunit ribosomal RNA
Source: RNAcentral